This 1471-nucleotide ribosomal RNA is filed under the name Orbilia nothoaprilis. RNAcentral describes it as "eukaryotic LSU rRNA". Lineage: Eukaryota; Fungi; Ascomycota; Orbiliomycetes; Orbiliales; Orbiliaceae. The record is from RNAcentral.
UUCCGUAGGUGAACCUGCGGAAGGAUCAUUAAAAAGGUCUAUGACCAAACCCUUUGGUCCGGCUCGUCCGGCCAGAGUUCAACCAACGUGGAUUACCACUUUCUGCUUCGGCAGCGGGUCGGGGCCUGUCUCCGGCUGUCAGCCUGCCGGCGGCACCUUCAAUUCAAACCUGUUUGUCAAAACCAGUCUGAACUGAAUGAUUUCUUGAAUGAAUAUCAAAACUUUCAACAACGGAUCUCUUGGUUCUCGCAUCGAUGAAGAACGCAGCGAAACGCGAUAGUUAAUGUGAAYUGCAGAAUUCAGUGAAUCAUCGAGUCUUUGAACGCACAUUGCGCCCCUCGGUAUUCCGGCGGGCAUGUCUGUUUGAGCGUCAUUACGACCCUUCGGUUGGACCUUUUGGUCCCRACCGGUUGUGGGUUGGSUGGGCCUCUGCGCCCCGCCGGCCUUAAACACCAGCGCUCUGCGAGCGGUUGCGCCGUCAAGAACAUAGUAAUUUUGCUCCUGUUCGACGAGCGGCAGCGGCCGGCUUCGCCUGAACAAACCCRCCUUCAAGGUUUGACCUCAGAUCAGACAAGGAUACCCGCUGAACUUAAGCAUAUCAAUAASCGGAGGAAAAGAAACCWACCGGGAUUGCCUCAGUAACGGCGAGUGAAGCGGCAAGAGCUCAAWUUUGAAAUCUGGGGCCUUYGGCCUCCGAGUUGUAAUUUGAAGAGGAUGCCUCGGUUGCGGCCCCGGCCUAAGUUCCUUGGAACAGGACGUCGCAGAGGGUGAGAAUCCCGUACGCGGCUGUGGGUUUGCUUCCAUGUGUGGCUCCCUCGAAGAGUCGAGUUGUUUGGGAAUGCAGCUCAAAAUGGGUGGUAAGUUUCAUCUAAGGCUAAAUACUGGCGAGAGACCGAUAGCGCACAAGUAGAGUGAUCGAAAGAUGAAAAGCACUUUGAAAAGAGAGUUAAACAGUACGUGAAAUUGUUGAAAGGGAAGCGCUUGCGAUCAGACUUGCGUUCGRCGGAUCAACGUUCCUUCUGGUUCGUGCACUCCGCCGUGCCGCAGCCCAGCAUCGGUCAGGACGGCGGGACAAAGGCUCCGGGAAUGUGGCUCUCUUCGGGGAGUGUUAUAGCCCGGCGCGCAAUGCCGUCAGCCCUGACYGAGGWCCSCGYUCMCGYUAGGAUGCUGGCKUAAUGGYYKUAAGCGACCCGUCUUGAAACACGGACCAAGGAGUCUAACAUSUACGCGAGUGUUUGGGYGUCAAACCCAUGCGCGCAAUGAAAGUGAACGGAGGUGGGAKCCCYCGGGCGCACCAUCGACCGAUCCUGAUGUCCUCGGAUGGAUUUGAGUARGAGCRUAGCUGUUGGGACCCGAAAGAUGGUGAACUAUGCCUGAAUAGGGUGAAGCCAGAGGAAACUCUGGUGGAGGCUCGCAGCGGUUCUGACGUGCAAAUCGAUCGUCAAAUUUGGGUAUAGGGGCGAAAGACUAA